GAUGAACGCUGGCGGCGUGCCUAAUACAUGCAAGUCGAACGCAUUGUGGUUGAAAUGAUAUGAAGAACUUGUUCAGAUUUGAUUUUCAACAUUGCAAUGAGUGGCGAACGGGUGAGUAACGCGUGGGAAACCUACCUCUUAGCAGGGGAUAACAUUUGGAAACAAAUGCUAAUACCGUAUAAUAAUUAAAACCGCAUGGUUUAGUUUAAAAGAUGGUCUUGCUAUCACUAAGAGAUGGUCCCGCGGUGUAUUAGUUAGUUGGUGAGGUAAUGGCUCACCAAGACAAUGAUACAUAGCCGAGUUGAGAGACUGACCGGCCACAAUGGGACUGAGACACGGCCCAUACUCCUACGGGAGGCAGCAGUAGGGAUCUUCCACAAUGGACGAAAGUACUGAUGAGCAACGCCGCGUGUG
This 414-nucleotide ribosomal RNA is filed under the name uncultured bacterium. RNAcentral describes it as "bacterial SSU rRNA". It matches the Rfam family "Bacterial small subunit ribosomal RNA", at positions 28 to 405 of the family's 1533-position model. The record is from RNAcentral.